CAACACUCAAGCUUAGCUUGGUCUUGAGCCCUGCCGGUAAUACGGCUGGCUUUAAAAUCAGUGGCGGCGCCAUUAGGCUCUCAGCGUAGUAAUACUCCUCGCUAGUGAGUUCUAGUGGUUGCUGGCCAGUAACCCCAACUUCUAA
RNAcentral lists this unclassified non-coding RNA (145 nucleotides) under uncultured Leotiomycetes. Its description in RNAcentral is "sequence contains ITS2". Lineage: Eukaryota; Fungi; Ascomycota; Leotiomycetes. The record is from RNAcentral.